AGCUUUGCGCAGUGGCAGUAUCGUAGCCAAUGAGGUUUAUCCGAAGCGCGAUUAUUGCUAAUUGAAAACUUUUUCUAAAUUUUAGAAUCUGAACUUUUUAACCACAACUCGGUG
This 114-nucleotide small nuclear RNA is filed under the name Neogale vison (American mink). RNAcentral describes it as "Neovison vison (American mink) U4 spliceosomal RNA (ENSNVIG00000020382.1)". It matches the Rfam family "U4 spliceosomal RNA". From Rfam's summary of the family: U4 small nuclear RNA (U4 snRNA) is a component of the major U2-dependent spliceosome. Lineage: Eukaryota; Metazoa; Chordata; Mammalia; Carnivora; Mustelidae. The record is from RNAcentral.